This 939-nucleotide long non-coding RNA is filed under the name Apteryx owenii (little spotted kiwi). RNAcentral's name for it is "lncRNA (ENSAOWG00000018885.1)". The record is from RNAcentral. Lineage: Eukaryota; Metazoa; Chordata; Aves; Apterygiformes; Apterygidae.
AAUCGGCGCCACAAACAUAAAUAGAACGGCCCGAGGAAGGUUUGCUCCGCGCGCUGGUGGGAGGGGGUGACGGGCGCGCGCGCUCUCUCGCCUGCCUCCGGCUGCGCGGGGCGGGGCGGGGACGCCGUGCCGAUGUGUCGCCUUCUUCUUCCCCGCACCCUCCGCUGAUGUCACGCGCGCAAGCCCGGGCGCGCCUCGCGCGCGUGGUGGGAAAAGGGGGUGGUGCCGGCGGCGCCCUCAGUGCCACCAUGUAGGGAAUGGAAUGCGGGGGCGGAGCCGCCGCAGCCUCAACCCGGUCACCUCUGCUGGGAAAGCCGGGUUGAGGGGGGAGGGAGCGAACGCAGAGAAAUACGGUAAUGACACAGGAGCGGCGGCGGCGGCCGCCUCCCGGGGGAAGGCGGGGGCUGUUCCGCUUCCAGCCUCUCAGCCGGGGCGCCGCCGGCGCUGGAGCUGCGGCAAGACGGCGGAGACGCGGCGGAGAGCAGGUGAGAGGCGCCCCCGGCCGGCUCGCAACGGCUGCGGCCCCGCGCGGGGAGAGAGAGGCCUGGGCUUCGCCCGUUUCAGCCCCCCGCUGGGGCAGGAGCCGGGGUCGUUUUCCCCACGCGCGACUGAAACAGCCCUGGGCGCGGCUCUGUGGGGCGAAGCCAGUUUCAGGUCGCCCCCGGGGCAGGAGCCGCGGUCGGUUUCCCCACGCGUGACGCAAACAGCUCCCCCCUCCCCCGCCCCUCAGGCUGUCCCGUCUAUCAGAGGCACUACGGUAGUCGCGCGGCCCCACGCGCGCCCCCGCGGCCGUUACUCCCGCGAGGAGCGCGGGGCGCGAGCUGGACGUUGCCGCCUCGCUCCGCAGAUGGUCCGGGCUGGAAGCGCUCCGGUAGCCCAAGGUGAAGGGCUUGGUGCCACAACUCGCAGUCACUUCUUUCUGAAAGGAACAUAAUCAAU